RNAcentral lists this ribosomal RNA (119 nucleotides) under Pteropus alecto (black flying fox). The record is from RNAcentral. Lineage: Eukaryota; Metazoa; Chordata; Mammalia; Chiroptera; Pteropodidae.
GUCUACGACCAUACCACCCUGAACAAGCCUGAUCCCGUCUGAUCUUGGAAGCUAAGCCGGGUCGGGCCUGGUUAGCAGUUGGAUGGGAGACCACCUACGAAGACCAGGUGCUGUAGUCU